This 450-nucleotide ribosomal RNA is filed under the name uncultured bacterium. RNAcentral describes it as "partial 16S ribosomal RNA". It matches the Rfam family "Bacterial small subunit ribosomal RNA", at positions 354 to 796 of the family's 1533-position model. The record is from RNAcentral.
GUGGGGAAUAUUGGACAAUGGGCGAAAGCCUGAUCCAGCCAUGCCGCGUGUGUGAAGAAGGUCUUCGGAUUGUAAAGCACUUUAAGUUGGGAGGAAGGGCAGUAAGUUAAUACCUUGCUGUUUUGACGUUACCGACAGAAUAAGCACCGGCUAACUUCGUGCCAGCAGCCGCGGUAAUACGAAGGGUGCAAGCGUUAAUCGGAAUUACUGGGCGUAAAGCGCGCGUAGGUGGUUUUGUAAGUUGGAGGUGAAAUCCCCGGGCUCAACCUGGGAAAUGCCUUCAAAACUGCAUGACUAGAGUACGGUAGAGGGUAGUGGAAUUUCCUGUGUAGCGGUGAAAUGCGUAGAUAUAGGAAGGAACACCAGUGGCGAGGGCGACUACCUGGACUGAUACUGACACUGAGGUGCGAAAGCGUGGGGAGCAAACAGGAUUAGAAACCCGGGUAGUCC